This 441-nucleotide ribosomal RNA is filed under the name uncultured bacterium. Its description in RNAcentral is "partial 16S ribosomal RNA". It matches the Rfam family "Bacterial small subunit ribosomal RNA", at positions 338 to 795 of the family's 1533-position model. The record is from RNAcentral.
CCUACGGGAGGCAGCAGUGGGGGAUAUUGCACAAUGGGGGGAACCCUGAUGCAGCGACGCCGCGUGGGUGAAGGAGUGCUUCGGCAUGUAAAGCCCUAUCGGCAGGGAAGAAGCAAGACGGUACCUGACUAAGAAGCCCCGACUAACUACGUGCCAGCAGCCGCGGUAAUACGUAGGGGGCGAGCGUUAUCCGGAUUCACUGGGUGUAAAGGGAGCGUAGACGGCCAAGCAAGCCAGGGGUGAAAGCCCGGGGCCCAACCCCGGGACUGCCCUUGGAACUGCAUGGCUGGAGUGCGGGAGGGGCAGGCGGAAUUCCUGGUGUAGCGGUGAAAUGCGUAGAUAUCAGGAGGAACACCGGCGGCGAAGGCGGCCUGCUGGACCGCGACUGACGUUGAGGCUCGAAAGCGUGGGGAGUGAACAGGAUUAGAUACCCGGGUAGUC